RNAcentral lists this ribosomal RNA (465 nucleotides) under grassland soil clone sl2_706. RNAcentral's name for it is "bacterial SSU rRNA". It matches the Rfam family "Bacterial small subunit ribosomal RNA", at positions 50 to 494 of the family's 1533-position model. The record is from RNAcentral.
AACACAUGCAAGUCGAACGCGAAAGUCCCGCAAGGGAUUAGUAGAGUGGCAAACGGGUGAGUAACACGUGGGUGACCUGCCUUCGAGUGGGGGAUAACGUCCCGAAAGGGACGCUAAUACCGCAUAACAUCCUGCUUUUUAAGAGGUGGAGAUCAAAGCCGGGGAUCGCAAGACCUGGCGCUUGAAGAGGGGCCCGCGUCCGAUUAGCUAGUUGGUGGGGUAAUGGCUCACCAAGGCAUCGAUCGGUAUCCGGCCUGAGAGGGCGGACGGACACACUGGGACUGAGACACGGCCCAGACUCCUACGGGAGGCAGCAGUGGGGAAUUGUUCGCAAUGGGCGCAAGCCUGACGACGCAACGCCGCGUGGAGGAUGAAGACCUUCGGGUCGUAAACUCCUUUCGAUCGAGACGAAUGGCCUCUGGGUAAAUACCCUGGAGGAGUGACGGUACCGAGAGAAGAAGCCCC